AGAACUCGUUCAAGAAGGCAGCUCUCACGUGACGUCUUCAAAAGUGGGAGCAUGCUCUUGCUCAAGAAGACCGUUGGCUUCAAAAGUGGGGAGUAAGCUGAGCUGCCAACAUCAAUCUGUAAAACCCAUUCAAGAAUCGCAGUACUCAGCUCUCAUUCUCAAGGAUCUCGACGUCUUUCUCUCUCUAAAAGUUUCCCCACAGAGAUUAAACUAUAUGAAUGAGGCCUACAUAACUUCUUGGGCAGCCAUAGUGGAUCCACCAAAAAUGGAUGAAAGCCCAAAAGCGAUCAGUAGCAGCUUUUCAAGACUUGUAUGAGGAACUGAAUCACCCACCACAGUUGGAGAAGUAGAGAUCAGCUGUUGGGGAUCCAUGUGAUGAAUCAUGGAAGGGAGUCUCAUGUUUUAGGUGAAUUAUCAUUUUCAUGUAAUGCAACAUAGGUCCUCUUUAACUAUGUGCACAAUUUGGAUGAUACGUGAUGGACAUCUUGGAGGCCAGCUCCAUAAUCUCUAUAAUUUGAAGCAACUAUAUGAGUUAUGUCGAUUUAGAUUUAGGUUUAUGUAAAAUUAUGUGAGUUUUAUUCACUAAUUGUUUUUUCAAUUUAUACUUUCUAUUAGGGAUGUAAGCUCCAAUGACAGUCAGGGUGAAAUUCCUUACAGGUUACCCCUAGUGUCACUGAUAUAUGAGAUGCUUGAUUAUUUGUUUCUAUUAGUAUUCUUAAUGAUUUAUUUAAUUUUAUCUGUGGUUUCAUUUUCUAUAAAUGCAGAAAUUUGGCAUGCUAGAAAUUGAGUCAAAAUACUUCUUAGUCUCAUACUUAAAUGAAAAAUCUUCAAUUGUUUGUCCUGGUAUUGCCUAUUUGACUGGUUACUAUAGUUGGUUUAGUUUAAUGAUUCAUAAAUGACAAUUUCAUUCUUCCAGGGAUUUGAGCCUCAAUUCAUUAUCUGAACUCAUUGGCAACGUGUUUGCGGGCUUACAAAAACUAAAAGAAAUGUAUAAUUACCAGCCUGUAUGACCUGAAAGGAAGCAAGACAGUUAUACUAUUGGUAUUACAUGGUGGUAGUGGUUUUUUUUUUUUUUUUUGAAGCUUAUGACACAAUGAUAAGCCCUCUUUGUAUUGAUGUUGUGUGUGUUAAUGUUCUAUCAUUGGAGUGGAAACUAGUUGGUAGUUGCAUGAAUUAUUUUAUACUCAUUUAGAAAUCAUAAUGUUUAUAUAUUAUCUAGCCUCUUCUGUUGGUAUCUUCUAUCAGCCAAAUUUCUAAGCCUUGAAAAUCAUAUUUGGAUCUGUUGUCACAGGGAUCUAUCAUCAAGCUACUUUACUGAGUCUAUAUAUGAUCUUCUCGUUUGAUCUCCCACUUGUAGGUUCCUUCAUAGCAGUCUUUCUCAUAACCCGUUUUAUGUGUUUUUCUGAUUAUAAGACACGUUUUUUUCUUGCCAAGAACAUCCAAAGCAACCAUUUUAGUGGCAUUAUCCCUAGUUGGAACCACCUGUGGGACACGUGGCAGUAGACCCUCCAUUCUGUUGGUAGAUUUCAGAGAAAGACAGAGAAAACCAAGAGAGCAGGAGGCUCCUUUGGCAGUGUGGGAGUUGGUUAGAGCAGAGAGAGCAGGUUGGGGGAACUGUUAGAGAGAGAGUGUGUGGGAAUGUUGGAGAGGAGGAGAGAAACUAGCAGAGGGAUUUUUGUGAUCAUGACGGAAAAACCAACAGAGGAAAACCGGAGCAAAUAAAAAGAAGCUGUGGGGGGUGGGUGUGUUUCUAAGGUUUUUGAGAGAGAACAGGGGAGAGGCUUGGAAAAAUGUUUUGAGAGCUGAAGCUGUGAGCAGGAGAGGGUGAAGUCUUGGUGGAGUUUUUCUAAGUGGUCUGAGAGAGGGAAUUUUAAAGAGAGAGUGAUAGGGGUAUCCAUUUCAGAGGGGAAGCUACGGUUUUGUUGGUCCUAGAGGAAGAGAGAGCGUUGGAAGCUGAGCAAGCUUUGCUUGAGAGGCCCAGGUAUGCCCAUUAUGGAUUUCAUUCUCUUCAUCAUCUGUUUUUGCUGAUUUUGAGCAUUGUUUGCUGAUUGGGUGUGAAUAUUGGAUGUACGGACAUUGCUUAUUGCUUUCUAAGUUGUUGAUAGACUAGAUCUUUCCGUAUUCAUAUACUGCAUCUUUGGUUUUCUUUGAGAUUUAUCUUCAAUAUGAUUCAGCUUCACUGUGUAUGGUAUGAGAAUCAUGCUUCUGCCCCCUGUCUCUUUCACCUGCUUUUGGCCCUUUGAUUAAAACAUGAAAAGGGACCUCAUUCAGUAGUUUGCUUGCUUGCUUGGCUCCUCUUGGGUCUCACCUGUUUUCUGUUUGUGUUUUUCUCUCUCUGUUAAUGGAGGCCAUGGGGUCAGAAUUUAAAAUCCAUUGGGUUUGGGGAGAUUGCGAGAGAAGGGUGGGGUGAGUUUCAUUCACCACCUGAUGCUUUCAAAGUAGAUUGUGAAGGCAGUGAAGGUCCGGGUUCAGACUGAGACUACCUUUGCUAGAGAUCUGUCAGAUGGAUAUCCCAAGUUUGUUAAAGCUGAAGGAGCUUUGGGAUUGUACAAAUGUCUUGUUCCUUUUUGGGGAUGUCAGAUUCCAUAUGCAUUGAUCAAAUUUGCUUCUUUUGGGAUCAUUAUUGAGUACAAGGAUGCCAUUCCUACUCUGAAGGAUCAGUGCAAUAGAAGUCUGCAGCUUGGUGUAAGCUUUGCUGAUAGAUAUGGCUGGUGUUUUCUGCUCUAUUGUUUCUCAUUCAGCUGAUAAUCUUGUGUCCUUCCUCAACAAUCCUAAGGGAGUUGUGUCAUCCCUUCAGCUUUGACUGUGCUAGUGCUAUGACUGAGCAACUCCAGACAGCAAGGUGGGUACAAAGAAGGUUAAAAAAUGCUGUGGAAACUGUUCAGAGGAUUAAGAGAAUGGAGCUAAGCAAAAUACUUCCUUAAGGGGAAAUUCAGACUUCUUAAACCAAUGAACGUGCCUAUUUGGACUGCCAAUCCAUUUAUUAUUAUUUUUUUAUUCUCUCCACUCCCUACAUCUUCUCUGAAACCUUAUAAACCCUAACUCUCUCAACCAAAGGGGUUUUCAGAGCUCAAUCUUCUCCAUUAAUGGAUGAACUGGAACAACUAGAAACUCACUCUUGUCACAAGGAAGCCAUGCUUUGGCCUCCCAGCAACUUGCCCUUCUUGCUUGCCCGUUUACAUCUACCUCAGAUUCGCCCAAGUUCCCUUUGAUCUGAGUUUCAAUUUCAUUCAUCCUGAUUCUGAUCAGAUUCCUUGCAUUGAGUCUGGUGCUUAUGCGGCCUAUAACAAUAAGAAGAGUGGCAGACUUCUGAAGGGUAUUCUGCAUAUUUAUCUAAGUGGCCUGUGGAUCAGAAGUUGCAUUCAGAUUCAGCAUAUGGUCUCUCAAGUAAGUUUGACAUACAGGAAGCCGAUUGUGUGGAUUUACUGAAUUCUUUGGAGCCUGGACAUGCAUAUCCUGAUGGGCAGAAAGGUCAUCCUUUGCGAAAUGGAUUUCAAAUACAGCUUUUAAAUUUGGAACAUGGAUUCUAUCAGAAAUCAGAUGCAGAAAGAAUAUCCUUGAUAGGACCUAGUUCAGGACACUCCCUCCAAUCACUCGGCUGUGACAUGUGAAUGAUAAAUGCCCUGAAGACACCAUACCCAUCAGAAGAACAAAGCAGGAUAAUAUUUGUAGUGUAUGUUCAGUGAAAAGAUAUGGAAGGAAGAGGCACGAGAUCAUUUCCUGCCAAGGUCUGCAGAUCCAGACCUCAAUCAAUGAGAGUGGCCAUCAGCAUGGAGUUGUUUAUGUUGAAGGAGAUAAAAACUAUGGAGUUAAAGCCACCAUUAAUGUUUGGGAACCCAAAAUACAACAGCCAAAUGAGUUCAGUCUGUCUAAAUUCAUUAUUCAUUUACCGGACAUUUCUCAUGGGGUGCUCCAUUUAUCUUGCUCCAAGAAAAUAUUAUGCAGGAAUCAACGAAGCGGGAGCGGUGGGAUUCAAACAGGUUGUUGAAUGAGAUCAACCAGCUGGAGAGUUGUUCUUGCCUAGCGGCCUUCAGCUCUACAUCGAUGAUAACUAUAACUUAGAGUUUUUAUUAGAGAGCUUCAAGUCACUUGAACUCAUAUGCAAUCUUAAAUCCUGGGAACAACAGAUAUCCUACACUUGAUUCUAAGGGAAAUUUGAUUGGAAUUGACGCAGCAAUAUUUACUCAUACAGGUAGAGGCUGAUCACUCACAAAUUCAUAUUUUUAUUUUUUUGGUUGUUGGUUAUAGAGAGUGAGGAAGUCCUUCUGCAGUAUGGGGGGCAGAGAGAGAGAGAGAGAGAGCUGUGAGGGGGGAUUCUUCUUUUUUAUUCAGGGGGCUGCAGAAGGAGCUGGUUGGAGGAGGAGAGGUUUGUUUGAGGGUAGGGGAUUCUGAUUUGUUUUAGGAGCCUUGGAGAGGAAAAAAAAAAGAAAAAAGAAACCAGCAGAAGAGGAGCCGGAAGGAGUAAGGAGGGAUGGCCGGUCUUUGAAGAAGAUUGAGGAGGAAGCAAUCUUUACUUUGGAGGAAGACUACUCAGGAAAUUUGGGCUGCCUAUUGACUCUCACUAAGACACGUGCACUCAAAGAAGGCAAGCAAAAUAUUUUUGGAGGGAAAAUGAGAUCAACUUGGCUGCAUAAGAAUUAGACAGAGAAUAAACUUUCCAAAAUGGAAAACACACAAAAAGAUAGAAAGGGUGCAGGAGAAUUUUUUUGGAGGGUCUUCGUGAAAAGAAAAAGAACUCGUGUUCACUGGUCUUUUGAAGGUUUUGAAGAUAGUUUAAAGCCGAGCAAUUGGAGUGCAGAUUGCCAGAAAGUUUGGUGUGGAAAAGUUUGAUCCAGCAAGUGAGCAAUUUGAUCUUCUUAGACAUAAUGUGGUAUUCCAAAUACCAGAUCUUUCUAAGCCUUUUGAUACUGUUGAUGUGGUUCUAAAGACUGCGAACCAGAUGCAGCCUGGAUCAUUUAACUUCAGUAAUGGUUCUAAACAGUUCUACAGAGGGAUACAUGAAUCAGAAAGCAAGGAAAAUGACUUGACAGCCUAUGUAAACAGCGAGUUUCGAGAGAUGGCAAUAUUGGGAGCAUUGAAAAGAAGUUCCUUUGCAGUUGAGGAUUCUCCUUCUUCAACAGAUAUAACAGGGUUGUUGUCUUUUGCAUGAACAUCAUCAACUCCAGGUAUGAGGUGGAGGGAAAAUUUAAAAAGGUGUAGGAGAGUGACUUGGAUGAUGGAAGGAAAAGCAUAGUAGAAGGGAGAGAAGAAAAGCUAGAGAGGAAAGAGGGCUGACCAGGCAUUCUAGAGCAAGGAAGAAAAUCAGAGAGCAAGAGAGAAGAAGAGUAGAACAGAAGAGAUGGUUCAUAGGGUUUUUGGCUAGUCUUGGGAGUAGGAGCAGCAAGCCUGAAGCCCAGCACACCUUGCUGCAGAGGAGACUUUCAGGUAUGGCUGUUAUGGGUUUCCCGCUUAUGUCAUCUUUCAUGCUUCUCCCACCUCUUUCCCAAAUGAUUUUUACAUUGCUUGUUGGGUUGUUAUGGAUUGGUUAUUGUUGCGUUAAUCUUUCUUUUCUCUGGUUCCAUUAAGGAAAUAUUUGACUAUGCUUCGGUUUACUGUUUCAUACUUGAAGAGCUUGCUGCAUUUUGUGCUUUUCUUUUAAGACAUUUGCCAUGGAUUAGCCCACUGAUUAUUAAACCCAUGGAUAAAAUAAUGAAAUGGGUUCAGCAUAUUUGGUGAAUGUUUUAUGCCCUGCUCCUUUUCCUUGUCUUUUGCUCUUUCCCUGUAUUCCUCUGUUUCCAGUUCCUUUGAGAAAGUUUGAGAUGUCAUUAUUGGGAGGCUUGCUCUUGGCAAGUAUUGAGGUUGAUCCUGUUAUGGAUAUCUGCAUAAAGCCACUAGAAGGAUGGAAGACCAGUGUAGUUACAUAGUAUAUGCUCUAGAUUGUGGGAUUUGAAAUCUGUGCUGCUGCAUUGCUGGGGAUAUUGACACAGGGCAUAAUACCUUUGAGAACGGAAAUCUAAAAGUUUCAGACUUUGAAUGAGCGCUUUUGCGGAACCUAAACGCCAAGAUGAUUGGUUUCACACAACUAAAAGGCACACACCAGGAGCUUCAAGUUCAGAAUCUUGACUAUGCCAUUUCCCAUGACCCCUUCCUCCAUUCCUUACCUUUCUUCAUUCAAGCGCUAGCUUCUGGAAGAUACCCAAGUCAUAAUAUGUUCCCUUCUGUGCUAAAAUCAUGCACUUUGAUGAAAAACUUGAGUUUCAGUGGUGCAUAGAAAUUUUGUGAUUCCGAGAUGAUCAGUGGAAUUCUUGAACAAAGGAGAUGUUGUGGGAGAUGGUAACAUAUGUUUUCCAGCUUGGUUAUAGACUGUUAAAUGUGAAGCACAGUUAAAAUCUGAUCCUGGAUGACCGGUAGUAGCGGGAUGGCAAAGCUGGUGGCAAUCCAACAUUGACUCUUUCCACAGACACAAAUAUCUUUCACCAACAAAGACCUCCCCAUGUGCAUAUGAUCCAUGCAUGCAUGACCACCCAAAGCCUUCUGAUGAAAUCCUUCUUCAUCAAAUCCAAAUCCUAAGCAUCCAACCCCUUUUCAACGAAACAAUAGCUAAACUUGAAGUUGAAUUGAGCCGCCCUGGAAAGCUAAUUGUUGCUGAUGUUGAAGGAAAGUUAUGCAUGAUCAUGGAAAUCCCUCAAGUCUUUGAUCAGACCAAUAAAGAGCCUCUUGAUGAUGUGUACCUGGUGUUGGAAGUAU
This is a long non-coding RNA of Vitis riparia (riverbank grape), 6726 nucleotides long. RefSeq lists it as uncharacterized. The transcript is spliced from 5 exons. The record is from RefSeq and is a predicted model, not a curated record. NCBI's taxonomy places the organism in Eukaryota, Viridiplantae, Streptophyta, Magnoliopsida, Vitales, Vitaceae.